Molecule: ribosomal RNA, 555 nt
Filed under: uncultured Pleosporales
Lineage: Eukaryota; Fungi; Ascomycota; Dothideomycetes; Pleosporales
Description: eukaryotic LSU rRNA
Rfam family: 5.8S ribosomal RNA (bases 181-334)
Source: RNAcentral
GCGGAGGGAUCAUUACACAAAUAUGAAGGCGGGCUGGAACCUCUCGGGGUUACAGCCUUGCUGAAUUAUUCACCCUUGUCUUUUGCGUACUUCUUGUUUCCUUGGUGGGUUCGCCCACCACUAGGACAAACAUAAACCUUUUGUAAUUGCAAUCAGCGUCAGUAACAAAUUAAUAAUUACAACUUUCAACAACGGAUCUCUUGGUUCUGGCAUCGAUGAAGAACGCAGCGAAAUGCGAUAAGUAGUGUGAAUUGCAGAAUUCAGUGAAUCAUCGAAUCUUUGAACGCACAUUGCGCCCUUUGGUAUUCCAAAGGGCAUGCCUGUUCGAGCGUCAUUUGUACCCUCAAGCUUUGCUUGGUGUUGGGCGUCUUGUCUCUAGCUUUGCUGGAGACUCGCCUUAAAGUAAUUGGCAGCCGGCCUACUGGUUUCGGAGCGCAGCACAAGUCGCACUCUCUAUCAGCAAAGGUCUAGCAUCCAUUAAGCCUUUUUUUCAACUUUUGACCUCGGAUCAGGUAGGGAUACCCGCUGAACUUAAGCAUAUCAAUAAGCGGAGGA